Molecule: ribosomal RNA, 812 nt
Filed under: uncultured bacterium
Lineage: Bacteria
Description: bacterial SSU rRNA
Rfam family: Bacterial small subunit ribosomal RNA
Source: RNAcentral
AGAGUUUGAUCAUGGCUCAGGAUGAACGCCGGCGGUGUGCCUAAUACAUGCAAGUCGGGCGCAUUGGCCCAACUGAUAUGACGUGCUUGCACUGAAUUGAUGUUGGAUUACCAGUGAGCGGCGGACGGGUGAGUAACACGUGGGCAACCUGCCCUGAAGCGGGGGAUAACAUCUGGAAACAGGUGCUAAUACCGCAUAACAACGAAAACCACAUGGUUUUCGUUUCAAAGAUGGUUUCGGCUAUCACUUCAGGAUGGACCCGCGUCGCAUUAGCUAGUUGGUGAGGUAAAGGCUCACCAAAGCAACGAUGCGUAGCCGACCUGAGAGGGUGAUCGGCCACACUGGGACUGAGACACGGCCCAGACUCCUACGGGAGGCAGCAGUAGGGAAUCUUCCGCAAUGGACGAAAGUCUGACGGAGCAACGCCGCGUGAGUGAUGAAGGUCUUCGGAUCGUAAAACUCUGUUGUCAGGGAAGAACAAGUGACGUUCGAAUAGGGCGUGACCUCGACGGUACCUGACCAGAAAGCCCCGGCUAACUACGUGCCAGCAGCCGCGGUAAUACGUAGGGGGCAAGCGUUGUCCGGAUUUAUUGGGCGUAAAGGGAACGCAGGCGGUUUUUUAAGUCUGAUGUGAAAGCCUUCGGCUUAACCGGAGAUGUGCAUUGGAAACUGGAAGACUUGAGUGCAGAAGAGGAGAGUGGAACUCCAUGUGUAGCGGUGAAAUGCGUAGAUAUAUGGAAGAACACCAGUGGCGAAAGCGGCUCUCUGGUCUGUAACUGACGCUGAGGUUCGAAAGCAUGGGUAGCGAACAG